GGUGAACGCUGGCGGUAGGCCUAACACAUGCAAGUCGAACGGCAGCACAGUAAGAGCUUGCUCUUACGGGUGGCGAGUGGCGGACGGGUGAGGAAUACAUCGGAAUCUACUUUUUCGUGGGGGAUAACGUAGGGAAACUUACGCUAAUACCGCAUACGACCUACGGGUGGAAGCAGGGGAUCUUCGGACCUUGCGCGAUUGAAUGAGCCGAUGUCGGAUUAGCUAGUUGGCGGGGUAAAGGCCCACCAAGGCGACGAUCCGUAGCUGGUCUGAGAGGAUGAUCAGCCACACUGGAACUGAGACACGGUCCAGACUCCUACGGGAGGCAGCAGUGGGGAAUAUUGGACAAAGGGCGCAAGCCUGAUCCAGCCAUACCGCGUGGGUGAAGAAGGCCUUCGGGUUGUAAAGCCCUUUUGUUGGGAAAGAAAAGCAGCAGGUUAAUACCCCGCUGUUCUGACGGUACCCAAAGAAUAAGCACCGGCUAACUUCGUG
Molecule: ribosomal RNA, 492 nt
Filed under: uncultured bacterium
Lineage: Bacteria
Description: partial 16S ribosomal RNA
Rfam family: Bacterial small subunit ribosomal RNA
Source: RNAcentral